UCGAAACCUGCAUAGCAGAACAACCAGUGAACAUGUUUUUUUCAUAUACGGGGGAGGCGUGUUGGCUUGCCAGGGCCCUUCCCUAAAUGUCACGGGGCUUUCCCUUGUGGUUGCCACGUGACACAUUAACCAAACCCCGGCGCGUUAUGCGUCAAGGAAUAUAAUCAUGAGUUUGUCCAUCCAUAUUAUCGGGUUUCCGGGUGUAUGGGUGUGGCACCAAUGUAAGGUCAUAAAAUGA
Molecule: unclassified non-coding RNA, 238 nt
Filed under: Gomphrena mizqueensis
Lineage: Eukaryota; Viridiplantae; Streptophyta; Magnoliopsida; Caryophyllales; Amaranthaceae
Description: ITS1
Source: RNAcentral